RNAcentral lists this ribosomal RNA (253 nucleotides) under uncultured bacterium. RNAcentral describes it as "partial 16S ribosomal RNA". It matches the Rfam family "Bacterial small subunit ribosomal RNA", at positions 524 to 776 of the family's 1533-position model. The record is from RNAcentral.
UACGUAGGGUGCGAGCGUUGUCCGGAAUUACUGGGCGUAAAGAGCUCGUAGGUGGUUUGUCGCGUUGUCCGUGAAAACUCACAGCUUAACUGUGGGCGUGCGGGCGAUACGGGCAGACUGGAGUACUGCAGGGGAGACUGGGAUUCCUGGUGUAGCGGUGGAAUGCGCAGAUAUCAGGAGGAACACCGGUGGCGAAGGCGGGUCUCUGGGCAGUAACUGACGCUGAGGAGCGAAAGCGUGGGGAGCGAACAGG